Molecule: long non-coding RNA, 1668 nt
Filed under: Olea europaea subsp. europaea
Lineage: Eukaryota; Viridiplantae; Streptophyta; Magnoliopsida; Lamiales; Oleaceae
Source: RNAcentral
GUUUAUAUGAUUUGCACUCUCUUCAAUUUAGAUAAAUUGCGUUGGGUGUUGGGAAAUCUGGAAAAAUGGACAAUUUUUGUUACAUUCCUGAAGACAUGAUUAUCAAUAUCUUGUUAAGGUUGCCCGUGAAAACUCUGUUGCGAUUCAAGUGCGUUUGCAAAUCAUGGUGUUCCAUCAUUGCAAGAUGCGAUUUUAUUUAUGAGCAUUUGGGUAUGGCACAUGCAGACAGCAGAAAAGCUCGUCUUCUUGUCAUGCAUCGUGCGUCAGAAACCAGCGAAUUCUUCUUGUUCCCUAAUGACCAACUAACGACACCAACACAUUUAACAAUUCAUACAAAGCUUCCUCCUUAUUUAAGAAUUAUGGGACCCUGCCAUGGUCUGUUAUGUCUUUUAAAUGACAACAAUUCAGAGUUAUGCCUGUGGAAUCUAGCAACUAGAGAAAUCAAAUAUAUACCAGAAUCCCCUAUUCCUAUUCCAAGCUAAGUUGAUGAGUACGAAUUUGCUGAAUUCGGGUUUGGUUUUGACUGUAAGACUAGAGAUUAUAAGGUGGUCAAAUUGCUAAAGAAACAUUGUGAAGAUCGAGACAAUGACUAUCAUGUUGAAGUAUAUACCUUGAGUACAAAUUCUUGGAGAAAAAUUGACGUCAUCGUGCCAUCUCGUCUAUUUCCGUAUAUUGUGAUGUAUUCUUAUACGGCCUACAUGAAUGGAACUUUUUAUUGGUGGGCGGAGAUAGUAAUUGUUUGUUUUGACAUGAGCAACGAGCAAUUUGGGAUGAUUCACUUGCCUAAAGUAGAUUUUCCAGUUAACGAAGAAGCGAAAUACAACUGUUUCACUGAAUAUAAUGGGUCGUUGGCAGUGAUUUUUUGUUUUCGAAAUGAAAAUGACACAUGGUCUGAACUGUGGUCAAUGAAUGGACAUGGCACGACAGUUACUUGGACGAAGCAAUUUUCGAUUGGAUGGUUAGAAGGAUGGUGGAGGCCAAUAGGGAGUUAUAAGAAUAAUAGAAUUCUUUUUGUAAAUGGAUACCUUGGGGGGGACGAUACGAUAAUCCCUUAUGAUCACGAAGCAAGAAGUUUGCAAAUUGCUCUUCCAAUUAACCGAGUUAUUGGACAGUACCUGUUCAGAAACAGUUGUUGCAUAUUACACUGAAAGCUUAGUUUCUCUGGGAGAUGGAUGAAAAUGAAUCUACGCAAGCUCCAAACUUCGAAGGUAGUGUAAUUUCAAUAUUAUCAACUAUUUAUAGUGGUCAAUAAUCAUCGGUAUGUUUUGCUACUUUUCCAAGCUUAAUUAUUUUGGACAAAGAUUUUAAUUUCAAUAUCAGUAAGUACAAAGUCUGUUUCAUUAUGACAGAGUUUGUAGCUGUGUGUAUUCUGUCAGGCCUUAUGUUGCAGUAGCAAGGUCCAUUUUCAAAAAUUAAUUGCAACUUCAAUAAAGCUAAGGACAAUUCUAGUUGAACAGGGUGAGGGACAGGGUUUUUGAAAAAAAUAGAAUGAGCCGGAAGACUGUGUUUGGCUUUUCUUUUUUUUUUUUUUUUUUAUCAAACUCUCCAAUUGUGUAUUGACAGCUGUUUGGCCUUUUUUUUUUAGUUGGUUUUGAAUCUGUUUCUAUAGCAUUACUCUUGUUGACAAGUUCCUUUACUAAAUUGAUCCAUUGGGUAUAAUAGUUUGCC